This 453-nucleotide ribosomal RNA is filed under the name uncultured bacterium. Its description in RNAcentral is "bacterial SSU rRNA". It matches the Rfam family "Bacterial small subunit ribosomal RNA", at positions 29 to 519 of the family's 1533-position model. The record is from RNAcentral.
AACGAACGCUGGCGGCAUGCCUAACACAUGCAAGUCGAACGGGAUCCUAGCUUGCUAGGUGAGAGUGGCGGACGGGUGAGUAACACGUGGGAAUCUGCCUUUUGGUUCGGGAUAACCGCGGGAAACUGCGGCUAAUACCGAAUGCCCUCGUGAGAGGAAAGAUUUAUCGCCAGAAGAGGAGCCCGCGUCCGAUUAGGUAGUUGGUGGGGUAAAGGCCUACCAAGCCGACGAUCGGUAGCUGGUCUGAGAGGAUGAUCAGCCACACUGGGACUGAGAUACGGCCCAGACUCCUACGGGAGGCAGCAGUGGGGAAUAUUGGACAAUGGGGGCAACCCUGAUCCAGCAAUGCCGCGUGAGUGAUGAAGGCCUUAGGGUUGUAAAGCUCUUUUGCCAGGGAAGAUGAUGACUGUACCUGGAGAAUAAGCCCCGGCUAACUUCGUGCCAGCAGCCGCG